This 382-nucleotide ribosomal RNA is filed under the name uncultured bacterium. RNAcentral's name for it is "bacterial SSU rRNA". It matches the Rfam family "Bacterial small subunit ribosomal RNA", at positions 30 to 419 of the family's 1533-position model. The record is from RNAcentral.
AUUGAACGCUGGCGGCAUGCCUUACACAUGCAAGUCGAACGGUAACAGGUUAAGCUGACGAGUGGCGAACGGGUGAGUAAUACAUCGGAACGUGCCUAGACGUGGGGGAUAACGCAGCGAAAGCUGUGCUAAUACCGCAUAAGAUCUAAGGAUGAAAGCGGGGGACCGCAAGGCCUCGCGCGUUUAGAGCGGCCGAUGUCAGAUUAGGUAGUUGGUGGGGUAAAGGCUCACCAAGCCGACGAUCUGUAGCUGGUCUGAGAGGACGACCAGCCACACUGGGACUGAGACACGGCCCAGACUCCUACGGGAGGCAGCAGUGGGGAAUUUUGGACAAUGGGCGCAAGCCUGAUCCAGCCAUGCCGCGUGAGUGAAGAAGGCCUUC